AUUGAACGCUGGCGGCAUGCCUUACACAUGCAAGUCGAACGGUAACAGGUCCUCGGAUGCUGACGAGUGGCGAACGGGUGAGUAAUACAUCGGAACGUGCCUAGUAGUGGGGGAUAACUACUCGAAAGAGUGGCUAAUACCGCAUGAGAUCUACGGAUGAAAGCAGGGGAUCUCGAGACCUUGUGCUACUAGAGCGGCCGAUGGCAGAUUAGGUAGUUGGUGGGAUAAAAGCUUACCAAGCCGACGAUCUGUAGCUGGUCUGAGAGGACGAUCAGCCACACUGGGACUGAGACACGGCCCAGACUCCUACGGGAGGCAGCAGUGGGGAAUUUUGGACAAUGGGCGAAAGCCUGAUCCAGCAAUGCCGCGUGCAGGAUGAAGGCCUUCGGGUUGUAAACUGCUUUUGUACGGAACGAAAAGCCCCGGGUUAAUACCCUGGGGUCAUGACGGUACCGUAAGAAUAAGCACCGGCUAACUACGUGCCAGCCGCCGCGGUAA
Molecule: ribosomal RNA, 498 nt
Filed under: uncultured bacterium
Lineage: Bacteria
Description: partial 16S ribosomal RNA
Rfam family: Bacterial small subunit ribosomal RNA
Source: RNAcentral